GGCUUUAGGCUCUGAGCUGUCAGCACAUAGCCCAAUGUGGGGCUCAAACCCACAAAGCACAAGAUCAUGACCUGAGAUGAAGUCGGAUGCUUCACCGACUGAGCUACCCAGCUGCCCCUCCAGUGGCUCUUGUAAUACUUGGAUGCUAUUCCCAAAUAAUUGGUUAAUCAAGGCUUCUAAAAUUAUCCAAACUUAAGCUUACUGCCUCAUUUAAUACUUUGAGCAAAUAAGAUUUCUCACUACUUCAACGUAGUAACACUGGGCUUUAACUCUAUUGGUGCCCACCCCAUUUCUGCCCACCCCUUUUGGAUUACUACAAGAAAUCUUUCCAUGUUUUUAUCCUUCUAGAAUCUGGUCUUAAAGAGGAUCUGUAGAAUAGUAAAUAGGAACAGUAAUAUGUUGUGCUGUAUUGUGUCUAAUUCUUAAACCUUAAAAUCCAUAUAUAGUUCAGUAGUAAACUUAUAAAGUGAUUUUAAGGGGCACCUGGGUGACUUAGUCGAAUGUCUGACUCUUGAUCUUGGCUCAGAUCAUGAUUUUACACUGUUUGUAGGAUCAAGCCCUAUGUCAGGCUCUGUGAUAAUGCAAAGCCUGCUUGGGAUUCUCUCUCCCUCUCUCUGCCCCUCCCCCACUGGCAUGCAUACUCUCUCUCUC
Long non-coding RNA from Neofelis nebulosa (Clouded leopard), 651 nucleotides. RefSeq lists it as uncharacterized. The transcript has 2 exons. NCBI's taxonomy places the organism in Eukaryota, Metazoa, Chordata, Mammalia, Carnivora, Felidae. The record is from RefSeq and is a predicted model, not a curated record.